Molecule: non-coding RNA, 72 nt
Organism: Idiomarina sp.
Lineage: Bacteria; Pseudomonadati; Pseudomonadota; Gammaproteobacteria; Alteromonadales; Idiomarinaceae
Source: Rfam
UGGGGUAUAGCCAAGCGGUAAGGCAGCGGGUUUUGAUCCCGCCAUUCCCAGGUUCAAAUCCUGGUACCCCAG